AAAGGUAAUACUUCUUGGAAACCUUUAUCCUUUGGCGGCCUUUUUUCUUUUCAGAGGAAUUCGUCUACAAAUCGAAAUUACCCGAUUACUUUCACUUUCUUUUUAUCAUUUAUACCGCCGUCUAAAUAAUAUAUUUAAAACUAUAUUUGCAAAAACAUUUACUAAGUCAGGUCAAGGUGAAGAAAUAAGAAAGUUUAGAUAAAUUACUUAUAAAUAUUAUUAAUGGAUUUUAUUCUAAAGUUACAAAUGAAACAGGAUUUGAUAGUAGGAUGAACACCAAAUAAAAAUUUCACCCGAAUCAGCAUUUAGGUGUACACAUCGCCCGUCGCUCUUA
Molecule: ribosomal RNA, 334 nt
Filed under: Cyrtocarenum cunicularium
Lineage: Eukaryota; Metazoa; Arthropoda; Arachnida; Araneae; Ctenizidae
Description: partial 12S ribosomal RNA
Source: RNAcentral